CUACGGGUUGCUGCAGUGAGGAAUAUUGCACAAUGGGGGGAACCCUGAUGCAGCAACGCCGCGUGGAGGAUGACGCAUUUCGGUGUGUAAACUCCUUUUAUAUGUCAAGAAAAUGACGGUAGCAUAUGAAUAAGCACCGGCUAACUCCGUGCCAGCAGCCGCGGUAAUACGGAGGGGUGCAAGCGUUACUCGGAAUCACUGGGCGUAAAGGACGCGUAGGCGGGUUGGAAAGUCAGGUGUGAAAUCCUACAGCUUAACUGUAGAACUGCACUUGAAACUUCUAAUCUAGAGUAUGGGAGGGGGAGAUGGAAUUAGUGGUGUAGGGGUAAAAUCCGUAGAUAUCACUAGGAAUACCUAAAGCGAAGGCGAUCUCCUGGAACAUUACUGACGCUAAGGCGUGAAAGCGUGGGGAGCAAACAGGAUUAGAUACCCGAGUAGUC
Molecule: ribosomal RNA, 440 nt
Filed under: uncultured bacterium
Lineage: Bacteria
Description: partial 16S ribosomal RNA
Rfam family: Bacterial small subunit ribosomal RNA
Source: RNAcentral